RNAcentral lists this ribosomal RNA (253 nucleotides) under uncultured bacterium. RNAcentral's name for it is "partial 16S ribosomal RNA". It matches the Rfam family "Bacterial small subunit ribosomal RNA", at positions 524 to 776 of the family's 1533-position model. The record is from RNAcentral.
UACGUAGGGGGCUAGCGUUGUCCGGAAUCAUUGGGCGUAAAGAGCGUGUAGGCGGCCCGGUAAGUCCGCUGUGAAAGUCGGGGGCUCAACCCUCGAAUGCCGGUGGAUACUGUCGGGCUAGAGUGCGGAAGAGGCGAGUGGAAUUCCUGGUGUAGCGGUGAAAUGCGCAGAUAUCAGGAGGAACACCAAUGGCGAAGGCAGCUCGCUGGGACGUUACUGACGCUGAGACGCGAAAGCGUGGGGAGCAAACAGG